Molecule: ribosomal RNA, 75 nt
Filed under: uncultured Flavobacteriaceae bacterium
Lineage: Bacteria; Pseudomonadati; Bacteroidota; Flavobacteriia; Flavobacteriales; Flavobacteriaceae
Description: partial 23S ribosomal RNA
Source: RNAcentral
AAUAAGCUAUUUAAGAGCGUAUGGGGGAUGCCUAGGCUCUCAGAGGCGAAGAAGGACGUGAUAAGCUGCGAUAAG